Pelobates cultripes (western spadefoot toad) is the source of this 907-nucleotide non-coding RNA. NCBI's taxonomy places the organism in Eukaryota, Metazoa, Chordata, Amphibia, Anura, Pelobatidae. The record is from the annotation of a GenBank genome assembly.
AACCUUAUCAAUGGGGUUACCCCGAUACUCUAGCCACACAUAAGUCCCCGGGCAGCGCGGCUACACAUAAACAAGGCGGUCACACCGAGAAGGGAAAUUAAUACUCACCUGGAUCGUGGCGCAUUGACGCCCGAUCCUCCAGUGAAACCGGUCCAGCUGGAGAGGAGUUCUAAGGGACGCCGGCCGCUGCGGUCCUGUUCUUAAUAAUAAUAUACACAGGGCCCACAACAUUAAAGAUGGAGCCAGCGUGCAUGUGAGGUCACCCUUUAAACGCUCGUUUUGGGGUCAAAUGCCACAUACUGACCAAUCACAGUACUGAGAGGCAUAUUUAAGCCCUGUAAUGCCUUUUCUCAGUGCCCUGUCAUGGUUUCCACUUGUUGGUUGUCAGAGAGCGCGUUCUUGUUCAAAUUUUCUGUUUUUUGACAUUGGCUUGCAUUUUUUACUUUCCCUACUUCUGGUUCCUGACCUUUGGCUAGUAUUUUCGUAUCGUCUCAUUCUGUAUCCUUGACCUCGACUUGUCUAUUGACCUUUCUCUUUAACGUUAAGUCCGGCCAUUCUAAGGCCCGAUAUACAUUGUAUUUUGUGUUAUCAUAGUUUUGCGUGUUGGGUCAUACAGUAGUUGUGACAGAAAGUUCACCUUGGACUACUUAAUAUGCCUCCACUUUGUGUCCAUUGGUAAGAGCAAGAGGCUUCAGAGGCAGGAAAUCACAGACCAUUUAAUGGGACCCACCUACUGCCCAUGGGUGGGAGCAGUAGGGGUAAAACUAGAAUGCCCCCAAAAUUCUUUUAUGCGCCAUACCUCAUUGCUAAUUGCAUGGGUUCUUUUAUCAAAUGUGCAGUCACAGCUGGCCAGUUGCUAUGUAUUUUAAUUCUUAACUGCUGGACAGUGGUGGAGGAACAAGGGGGA